Molecule: transfer RNA, 73 nt
Filed under: Heterocephalus glaber (naked mole-rat)
Lineage: Eukaryota; Metazoa; Chordata; Mammalia; Rodentia; Bathyergidae
Rfam family: tRNA
About the family: Transfer RNA (tRNA) molecules are approximately 80 nucleotides in length. Their secondary structure includes four short double-helical elements and three loops (D, anti-codon, and T loops).
Source: Rfam by way of RNAcentral
GCCUGGCUAGCUCAGUUGGUAGAGCAUGAGACUCUUAACCUCAGGGUUGUGGGUUUGAGCCCUAUGUUGGGCA